GGCGCGCACCCGGCCCGGUCCCGGAACUGUCAUGCGGGCUGACAGCUGGCACACCUUCCUGUUGCCCUCCACCCGCUCGCAGAAAGCCCCUUCCCAGCAGUCACCCUGACACUGCUCACCUGCUGGGCCUCAGCCCUCGGCCAAGGAAACUUUUCUCCCCCUUCCCAGGAGCUCACUUACAGGGAACUGUGUACUUUGUGGAUGAUGAGGAGGGACAAUACAAUUGUGAAUCAAAAAUGAGAGACAGGGACAAGAAGAGAAUAAUGGACUAUAAGACAGGAGCUUGAGGAACAACGCUUCUUCCUUUUAACAAAGAAGCUUGUCCAGAACAGAAAUUGUUAUUACCUGGUUGGUUUUUCAAAAGAAAAUAAUGUUUUGCUAUGACUGGCGGCAAGAAUUCAAAGGAAAAGAAAAUGCAAAAACUCUGAUGUAUCCUGGCUCCUCCCUCUUCUUUGAAGCGAUUCCUCAGAGCCCUCUGAAAGCCUGUCUCCCAGACUAUAGUACGCAGACAUGCCAAGUGCGCUCCACCGGACUGAGGCUGAUGCAACAAGGAAUUGCAGAGCUGUUUGGCCUUGGGAUUCAGUCGUUAAGAAGAGCUGCCAACUCUGCCUGACCAGCGGGAGUGAGUUUGUUCACUCUUCUCUGGCCUCCAGCACGGAAGGCGGGCUGUCUGCAGCCUCUGUGAAACUUAAGGUAGUUCUUCCCUCGGAGUUGGGUUGAGACCCUCACUUGCUGUUUGAUCACUUUCUGGAAUCUUAAGGUGACACAGACUAACAGGAAAACAAGUAAUGAAGAGAUACUAAGGAAUGCAGCUUAAUGAUGAGUUUUAUAGAUGAAUUAAUGAUUAUUGGUUGGCUUAUAGACUUUCCUGGUUGGCUAAAUGACAGAUGUGAUAAACUCUACAUUCUUUCAAGUUCUAGAAUAUUUUAUAUUUUUUGAGGUAAGUUCUUUCAAAUUGAGUGAUUCUUGAAUAUUUAAUUAUUUAUAUUUUUGAGGUCUUUGGGAUUUAUCAAUUACCAUGAAGAAUACAAUUGGUAAGAUUUAAUUACAGCCACGUGAGCUGGUAUUCUUAUAUACAAUGUACAAAGAAUGUUCUAUGCACAUGGAUAACAAGACAAAGGUCAAGAGUGUCUCUGAAGAGAAAUUAUUUAGGAAUUAAGGUGGAAUAUGAGGUUGCAUACCUCAGUGUAUUUCAAAGGAAUAUAUCUAUUCUGCCCCUGGAAGGAACGAUCUCUCUCUCUCUGUAUUUUCUUGUUCAUCUGAGCAGAAAGCUCCUGGAUUACAGAGCCUGCUUGUUCCUCCUUAGUAACUGUCACCGCCUCCUGCUGGUCUUUCAUUCAGCAGACAAGGGGUUCAAAAGAGUCUUAAUAAAUCCUCAUUCCUUUCCUCCCCACCUCUCUCAAACUCUGCCAUCAUAGAAUUAAUGUUAAGUUGGUAUCUAUGCUCUCUUAAAUAGCUCAGAUCUAACAAACUGAAAUUUAAUUGGUUAAAUAUGAAUACUGCUUCCCCUUGUGCCCUACCCUAAGCACUACUGUCAAGUACCCAAGUACAAUACAGGAAAGGUAUAUUAAUAGUAACUAAUAAAAAAGGUUUUAUUUUUGA
Camelus dromedarius (Arabian camel) is the source of this 1602-nucleotide long non-coding RNA. RefSeq lists it as uncharacterized. The transcript has 4 exons. Lineage: Eukaryota; Metazoa; Chordata; Mammalia; Artiodactyla; Camelidae. The record is from RefSeq and is a predicted model, not a curated record.